AGAGUUUGAUCCUGGCUCAGAUUGAACGCUGGCGGCAGGCUUAACACAUGCAAGUCGAGCGGAAACGAUACCAGCUUGCUGGUAGGCGUCGAGCGGCGGACGGGUGAGUAAUACUUAGGAAUCUACCUAGUAGUGGGGGAUAGCUCGGGGAAACUCGAAUUAAUACCGCAUACGACCUACGGGAGAAAGGGGGCAGUUUACUGCUCUCGCUAUUAGAUGAGCCUAAGUCGGAUUAGCUAGAUGGUGGGGUAAAGGCCUACCAUGGCGACGAUCUGUAGCUGGUCUGAGAGGAUGAUCAGCCACACCGGGACUGAGACACGGCCCGGACUCCUACGGGAGGCAGCAGUGGGGAAUAUUGGACAAUGGGGGAAACCCUGAUCCAGCCAUGCCGCGUGUGUGAAGAAGGCCUUUUGGUUGUAAAGCACUUUAAGCAGUGAAGAAGACUCCUCGGUUAAUACCCGUGGACGAUGACAUUAGCUGCAGAAUAAGCACCGGCUAACUCUGUGCCAGCAGCCGCGGUAAUACAGAGGGUGCAAGCGUUAAUCGGAAUUACUGGGCGUAAAGCGAGCGUAGGUGGCUUGAUAAGUCAGAUGUGAAAUCCCCGGGCUUAACCUGGGAACUGCAUCUGAAACUGUUAGGCUAGAGUAGGUGAGAGGAAGGUAGAAUUCCAGGUGUAGCGGUGAAAUGCGUAGAGAUCUGGAGGAAUACCGAUGGCGAAGGCAGCCUUCUGGCAUCAUACUGACACUGAGGCUCGAAAGCGUGGGUAGCAAACAGGAUUAGAUACCCUGGUAGUCCACGCCGUAAACGAUGUCUACUAGUCGUUGGGUCCCU
This 831-nucleotide ribosomal RNA is filed under the name uncultured bacterium. RNAcentral describes it as "bacterial SSU rRNA". It matches the Rfam family "Bacterial small subunit ribosomal RNA", at positions 8 to 832 of the family's 1533-position model. The record is from RNAcentral.